RNAcentral lists this ribosomal RNA (253 nucleotides) under uncultured bacterium. RNAcentral describes it as "partial 16S ribosomal RNA". It matches the Rfam family "Bacterial small subunit ribosomal RNA", at positions 524 to 776 of the family's 1533-position model. The record is from RNAcentral.
GACGGAGGGCGCAAGCGUUGUUCGGAAUUACUGGGCGUAAAGCGCGCGCAGGCGGCUAUCCAAGUCAGUGGUGAAAGCCCGGAGCUCAACUCCGGAACUGCCAUUGAAACUGUUUAGCUUGAGGACGAGAGAGGUGAGUGGAAUUCCCAGUGUAGAGGUGAAAUUCGUAGAUAUUGGGAAGAACACCGGUGGCGAAGGCGGCUCACUGGCUCGUAUCUGACGCUCAGGCGCGACAGCGUGGGGAUCAAACAGG